RNAcentral lists this ribosomal RNA (253 nucleotides) under uncultured bacterium. RNAcentral's name for it is "partial 16S ribosomal RNA". It matches the Rfam family "Bacterial small subunit ribosomal RNA", at positions 524 to 776 of the family's 1533-position model. The record is from RNAcentral.
UACGGAGGGUGCGAGCGUUGUCCGGAUUUACUGGGCGUAAAGGGUGUGCAGGCGGGCUGUUAAGUGGUGUAUGAAAGGUCCCGGCUCAACCGGGAUAAGUUAUGCCAGACUGGCAGUCUAGAGAGCGAGAGAGGGACGUGGAAUUCCGGGUGGAGUGGUGAAAUGCGUAGAGAUCCGGAAGAACACCAAAGGCGAAGGCACCAUCCUGGGGAGUCACUGACGCUCGGGUGCGAAAGCCAGGGGAGCGAACGGG